AACACUAACAAAUUAGUUAUACACCAUAGGUAAGAUAGUUAGGCAAUAACCAGUUACAUAAAUAUUUAUCCAAAAGUGAAAUUUUCAAAUAAUAUUUUACCCAAUUUAAUACUAUUAUAUGCCGAAGCUAUGAAAAUCUAGACUAAAACCGGGAUUAGAUACCCCGUUAUUCUACAUCGUAAAUUGAUUUCAUCUACCAGGGGACUACGAACACAGUUUAAAACUCAAAGAACUUGGCGGUUUUUUACACUACUUAGGGGAGCCUGUCCCAUAAUCGAUAAUCCACGAAAAACCUAACCUUUGUUAGCAAUCAGUUUGUAUACCGUCGUCUUAAGCAAACUUCGCAAGAAUCUCGCAAUAAAAUAAUAACUUCUAACGUCAGAUCAAGGCACAGCCAAUACAAAGGUGGAUUGAUGGGCUACAAUUUUCACUUACAACAACGAAUUGUCUUCACUAAAAGAAGCAUGAAGGAGGACUUAAAAGUAAAUUUAUCUAGAUAAAUAAUUUGAAUUUAGCUCUAGAAAAUGC
Molecule: ribosomal RNA, 528 nt
Filed under: Canalispira sp. MNHN-IM-2013-1838
Lineage: Eukaryota; Metazoa; Mollusca; Gastropoda; Neogastropoda; Cystiscidae
Description: partial 12S ribosomal RNA
Source: RNAcentral